CUACGGGCGGCUGCAGUGGGGAAUAUUGCACAAUGGGCGCAAGCCUGAUGCAGCCAUGCCGCGUGUAUGAAGAAGGCCUUCGGGUUAUAAAGUACUUUCAGCGGGGAGGAAGGGAGUAAAGUUAAUACCUUUGCUCAUUGACGUUACCCGCAGAAGAAGCACCGGCUAACUCCGUGCCAGCAGCCGCGGUAAUACGGAGGGUGCAAGUGUUAAUCGGAAUUACUGGGCGUAAAGCGCACGCAGGCGGUUUGUUAAGUCAGAUGUGAAAUCCCCGGGCUCAACCUGGGAACUGCAUCUGAUACUGGCAAGCUUGAGUCUCGUAGAGGGGGGUAGAAUUCCAGGUGUAGCGGUGAAAUGCGUAGAGAUCUGGAGGAAUACCGGUGGCGAAGGCGGCCCCCUGGACGAAGACUGACGCUCAGGUGCGAAAGCGUGGGGAGCAAACAGGAUUAGAUACCCGGGUAGUC
RNAcentral lists this ribosomal RNA (464 nucleotides) under uncultured bacterium. RNAcentral describes it as "partial 16S ribosomal RNA". It matches the Rfam family "Bacterial small subunit ribosomal RNA", at positions 339 to 795 of the family's 1533-position model. The record is from RNAcentral.